RNAcentral lists this ribosomal RNA (253 nucleotides) under uncultured bacterium. Its description in RNAcentral is "partial 16S ribosomal RNA". It matches the Rfam family "Bacterial small subunit ribosomal RNA", at positions 524 to 776 of the family's 1533-position model. The record is from RNAcentral.
UACGUAGGGGGCAAGCGUUGUUCGGAAUUACUGGGCGUAAAGGGCGCGUAGGCGGCACGACAAGUCGGAAGUGAAAGCCCGGGGCUCAACCCCGGAAUGUCUGUCGAAACUGUCGAGCUAGAGUGCAGAAGAGGCAACUGGAAUUCCCAGUGUAGCGGUGAAAUGCGUAGAUAUUGGGAAGAACACCUGAGGCGAAGGCGGGUUGCUGGGCUGACACUGACGCUGAGGCGCGAAAGCCAGGGGAGCGAACGGG